AGAGUUUGAUCAUGGCUCAGAACGAACGCUGGCGGCAUGCCUAACACAUGCACAGUCGAACGAAGGCCCAGAGCUUGCUCCGGUGUCCUUAGUGGCGGACGGGUGAGUAACGCGUGGGAACCUACCUUAGAGCGGGGAAUAACUAUUGGAAACGAUAGCUAAUACCGCAUACGCCCUUCGGGGGAAAGGCUUCGGCCACUCCAAGACGGUCCCGCGUCUGAUUAGCUUGUUGGUGAGGUANUAGCUCACCAAGGCUACGAUCAGUAGCUGGUCUGAGAGGAUGAUCACCCACACUGGGACUGAGACACGGCCCAGACUCCUACGGGAGGCAGCAGUGGGGAAUAUUGGACAAUGGGGGAAACCCUGAUCCAGCAAUGCCGCGUGAGUGAAGAAGGCCUUAGGGUUGUAAAGCUCUUUCAGAUGUGAAGAUGAUGACUGUAACAUCAGAAGAAGCCCCGGCUAACUCCGUGCCAGCAGCCGCGGUAAUACGGAGGGGGCUAGCGUUGUUCGGAAUUACUGGGAGUAAAGCGCGCGUAGGCGGCUAAGCAAGUUAGAGGUGAAAGCCCCGGGCUCAACCUGGGAAUUACCUUUAAUACUGUUUAGCUUGAGUUCGGAAGANGGAAGUGGAAUUUCCAGUGUANAGGUGAAUUCGUANAUUUUGGAACGAA
Molecule: ribosomal RNA, 668 nt
Filed under: uncultured Alphaproteobacteria bacterium
Lineage: Bacteria; Pseudomonadati; Pseudomonadota; Alphaproteobacteria
Description: bacterial SSU rRNA
Rfam family: Bacterial small subunit ribosomal RNA
Source: RNAcentral